GAUGAACGCUGGCGGCGUGCCUAAUACAUGCAAGUCGAACGCUGGAAAUCUAGCUUGCUAGAUUGAAGGAGUGGCGAACGGGUGAGUAAUACAUAAGCAACCUACCCACGAAGACUGGGAUAAUCUCUGGAAACGGGGACUAAUACCGGAUAGGUAAUCGGAAGGCAUCUUCUGAUUAUUAAAGGUUAAAAACACUGGUGGAUGGGCUUAUGGCGCAUUAGUUAGUUGGUGAGGUAACGGCCCACCAAGACGAUGAUGCGUAGCCGGCCUGAGAGGGUGAACGGCCACAUUGGGACUGAGACACGGCCCAGACUCCUACGGGAGGCAGCAGUAGGGAAUUGUCGGCAAGGGGGGAAACCCUGACCGAGCAACGCCGCGUGAGUGAUGACGGCCUUCGGGUUGUAAAGCUCUGUUGUAAGGGAAGAACGGUAGAUAGAGAAUAUCUAAAUGACGGUACCUUACCAGAAAGCCACGGCUAACUACGUG
This 486-nucleotide ribosomal RNA is filed under the name uncultured bacterium. RNAcentral describes it as "partial 16S ribosomal RNA". It matches the Rfam family "Bacterial small subunit ribosomal RNA", at positions 28 to 507 of the family's 1533-position model. The record is from RNAcentral.